Molecule: ribosomal RNA, 256 nt
Filed under: uncultured bacterium
Lineage: Bacteria
Description: partial 16S ribosomal RNA
Rfam family: Bacterial small subunit ribosomal RNA
Source: RNAcentral
UACAGAGGUCUCAAGCGUUGUUCGGAUUCAUUGGGCGUAAAGGGCGCGUAGGCGGCGGGGUCAGUCGGGUGUGAAAUCUUGGGGCUUAACCCCGAAACGGCACUCGAAACUGCCCGGCUGGAGGGCCGGAGAGGAGAUCGGAAGUCACGGUGUAGCAGUGAAAUGCGUAGAGAUCGUGAGGAAGACCCGUGGCGAAGGCGGAUCUCUGGACGGCUAAAACUGACGCUGAGGCGCGAAGGCCAGGGGAGCAAACAGG